AACGAACGCUGGCGGCAGGCUUAACACAUGCAAGUCGAGCGCCCCGCAAGGGGAGCGGCAGACGGGUGAGUAACGCGUGGGAACGUACCCUUCUCUGCGGAAUAGCUCCGGGAAACUGGAAUUAAUACCGCAUACGCCCUUUGGGGGAAAGAUUUAUCGGGGAAGGAUCGGCCCGCGUUGGAUUAGCUAGUUGGUGGGGUAAAGGCCUACCAAGGCGACGAUCCAUAGCUGGUCUGAGAGGAUGAUCAGCCACAUUGGGACUGAGACACGGCCCAAACUCCUACGGGAGGCAGCAGUGGGGAAUAUUGGACAAUGGGGGCAACCCUGAUCCAGCCAUGCCGCGUGAGUGAUGAAGGCCUUAGGGUUGUAAAGCUCUUUACCAGGGAUGAUAAUGACAGUACCUGGAGAAUAAGCUCCGGCUAACUCCGUGCCAGCAGCCGCAGUAA
RNAcentral lists this ribosomal RNA (446 nucleotides) under uncultured bacterium. Its description in RNAcentral is "partial 16S ribosomal RNA". It matches the Rfam family "Bacterial small subunit ribosomal RNA", at positions 29 to 523 of the family's 1533-position model. The record is from RNAcentral.